ACAGGUUCCUCUUUUGGCUAAGAUCAAGUGUAGUAUCUGUUCUUAUCAGUUUAAUAUCUGAUACGUCCUCUACCCGAGGACUAUAUAUUAAAUGGAUUUUUGGAACAGGGAGUCGGAAAGGGACAGAUAGACACACCGAGAGGACAGUGCAAGGCUAGCCUCCAGUGAGUUUUCCCUCCUUUAUUAUAUAUUUAAAUAUAU
This is a small nuclear RNA of Clupea harengus (Atlantic herring), 201 nucleotides long. Its record names the gene U2. It matches the Rfam family "U2 spliceosomal RNA". From Rfam's summary of the family: U2 is a small nuclear RNA (snRNA) component of the spliceosome (involved in pre-mRNA splicing). Complementary binding between U2 snRNA (in an area lying towards the 5' end but 3' to hairpin I) and the branchpoint sequence (BPS) of the intron results the bulging out of an unpaired adenosine, on the BPS, which initiates a nucleophilic attack at the intronic 5' splice site, thus starting the first of two transesterification reactions that mediate splicing. Lineage: Eukaryota; Metazoa; Chordata; Actinopteri; Clupeiformes; Clupeidae. The record is from Ensembl.